Molecule: ribosomal RNA, 253 nt
Filed under: uncultured bacterium
Lineage: Bacteria
Description: partial 16S ribosomal RNA
Rfam family: Bacterial small subunit ribosomal RNA
Source: RNAcentral
UACGUAGGGGGCAAGCGUUGUCCGGAUUUACUGGGCGUAAAGAGCGUGUAGGCGGCCACGCAGGUCCGUUGUGAAAACUGGAGGCUCAACUUCCAGCCGUCGACGGAAACCGUGUGGCUAGAGUCCGGAAGAGGAGAGUGGAAUUCCUGGUGUAGCGGUGAAAUGCGCAGAUAUCGAGAGGAACACCUGCGGCGAAGGCGGGUUGCUGGGCCGACACUGACGCUGAUGCGCGAAAGCCAGGGGAGCGAACGGG